UGAUACAGUUUUAUAAUCCCGGCAUUCUUAAUUUAUGUAUAAAAUAACUGGCUGCAUCCAGUGGUACCCCUCAGUCUCCUAGCAGACACACCUAUGUUAUUUCAAAAAUCCUCUGUGACUUCUUUCUCAGGUGGCCCUGAGAUUUUCUUUUGUACCCAUGUUAUCAGUUUUCAUUCUCGAGUUUAAUCUGCCCUGGACAAACGGUACGAGGCGGUGCUCCGCAACUCUUUUACUUCAGCUACCUCCCAUUUCUUGUGAACAAUUGUGAAUGCUUGGGAGAAAAAAAAAAACA
Haplochromis burtoni (Burton's mouthbrooder) is the source of this 292-nucleotide long non-coding RNA. RefSeq lists it as uncharacterized. The record is from RefSeq and is a predicted model, not a curated record. The transcript has 2 exons. Lineage: Eukaryota; Metazoa; Chordata; Actinopteri; Cichliformes; Cichlidae.